UAUAUUUAUUUUUCCUCUUUUCUUCUUCGUCUCCCCUACGGUACAUUGUUCUCUCGUUUCGUGUUCAUCUUCGACUUCAUCUUCUCUCCGACCAGGCCUUCUCCAUUCUUCGACUUCAUCUUUGGCUUCGUCUUCAUCUUCGUCUUCUCCCUAAUUCAUCAUAGAACUUUGUUCCUCAUCUUUAGCUUCAGCUACAUCUUCGUUCUCUAACUAAGAAUUUCUGUUCGGCUCUCCGUUCCUCUUUCACCUUCGUUCUCCGGUUAAGGGAAGAUCAAAAUACCAACUGAUCAGCAAGAAAAAACAUAGACAAAUGUACUGAGGAUCACAAGAGGAUCAAUUGAAAGUAAGCUUGUGGGAGAAAUUGCAAAACAAGUCCUCAAGAAUAAGAGAUAUUACAAUCUCAUUGACACAACACUCUGGGAGGGAUAGUUUGGGAGCCUCUCAGCAAACUGUAAAGCUUGGAAGAUUUUAGAAUUUUGUUAUUUCAAUAGAUUUAUAUAUUUGUUUCUUUACAUUUACCUCACCAACAGAUAUUAUGUUUUACAUAACUAGUAACCAUAAAGGAGGGUGUGGAAGAAAGGUUCGUAGUGAUUUAUGUUUUCUAUACAUUUAGAUUCCACGUUGAAUUUGAACUAGGUAUCACUUGGUCGUUUGUUAGCAAGAUUCCACAAUGUGCACUUCAUAUAGAAAUCCCUUCUCUCUUGCCAUUUUGUUCUAGGUAACUAUAGUAUAUGUUCCUUUUCCUAGCCACGAGUGUCAUUCUCUUCUGCUGUUUAUUUCUUUAUAGUUUAUCCAACAAUUUGAAAGUAAAAUUUUGUUUGUAUUUAUCUUGACUGUCCUGAUUUCAAAAGUAUUCCAUUAAUUUUCCAAACUCAUCAACCCUCUUGAUGUAACCAAUUAUAAAACUCAAGUACCAAAAGCUUCACAUAUUCUUCAAACAACUGGAGGUUGUCUAUGUUUCAUCUACCUCCAUUCCAAAGGAAGGUGAGAAGCUUCUAGGAACAGUGUUCAUAAUUAUUUACAUCAAGAGGAUCAAGUUGUUUGGAGAGAUCAGACAAUACUUCUAUAAUGAGUGUAGCCAUGGUGAAAUUCUUCUUCUUCUUGUAUUUGCUUGCAGAUUGUUUGAAAAACUAAAGGAAAUAAAAAGUUGUGCUCAUAAUUAUUUCCA
Long non-coding RNA from Cucumis sativus (cucumber), 1168 nucleotides. RefSeq lists it as uncharacterized. The transcript has 2 exons. Lineage: Eukaryota; Viridiplantae; Streptophyta; Magnoliopsida; Cucurbitales; Cucurbitaceae. The record is from RefSeq and is a predicted model, not a curated record.